Molecule: ribosomal RNA, 697 nt
Filed under: uncultured bacterium
Lineage: Bacteria
Description: bacterial SSU rRNA
Rfam family: Bacterial small subunit ribosomal RNA
Source: RNAcentral
AGUGGCGGACGGGUGAGUAACACGUGAGAAUUUGCCUUUAGGAGGGGGAUAACAAUCGGAAACGAAUGCUAAUACCCCAUAUGCUUUUGAGUGAAAUGGAUUUAUCCGCCUAAAGAGAAGCUCGCGGCUGAUUAGCUUGUUGGUGAGGUAAGAGCUUACCAAGGCGACGAUCAGUAUCUGGUUUGAGAGGACGAUCAGACACACUGGAACUGAGACACGGUCCAGACUCCUACGGGAGGCAGCAGUGGGGAAUUUUCCGCAAUGGGCGAAAGCCUGACGGAGCAAUACCGCGUGAGGGAAGACUGCCUAUGGGUUGUAAACCUCUUUUUUCAGGGAGGAACAAAAUGACGUGUACCUGAAGAAUAAGCAUCGGCUAACUCCGUGCCAGCAGCCGCGGUAAGACGGAGGAUGCAAGUGUUAUCCGGAAUCACUGGGCGUAAAGCGUCUGUAGGUGGUUUAAUAAGUCAACUGUUAAAUCUUGAGGCUCAACUUCGAAAUCGCAGUCGAAACUAUUAGACUAGAGUAUAGUAGAGGUAAAGGGAAUUUCCAGUGGAGCGGUGAAAUGCGUAGAUAUUGGAAAGAACACCGAUGGCGAAAGCACUUUACUGGGCUAUUACUAACACUCAGAGACGAAAGCUAGGGUAGCAAAUGGGAUUAGAUACCCCAGUAGUCCUAGCCGUAAACUAUGGAUACUAGA